GCCAGUUUCAACGCGCUGACAUUAAUAUAACAGUGGUGAAAGACUACGUGGAUGAAGGUCUUCAUCGAGUUAAGAAGGAACAAAUUCUGGCCAGAGGGAUCCUGAGGUGGGGAUCAGAGCAAAUGCCAGUUACCCUGCAAGACAAGACGCUGAAGGACUCGGUGCAAAAACGCCACCGAAGCAGCUGCUGGGUGGUGCCCAAGACAGAGAUAGAGAGACUACUGGGUCAUUCGUAUGAGAGCUACGUGGUGAAUCAUGUGUAAUUCUAGCCGAGUCAUUUCCACCAUGUUGUCUGUUUGCUGCACAGCUCAAGUCACAGCAGGUAAUGUGGAUAGGUUAUCACAAAAGGAUGAACCAAAGCUGGGAUCCAACUGGGUUAGUUGCCUGAAUGGUAUUCUGGAAGGGUGGGACAGAUUACAGACUGCAAAGAAAAGUUUCCUGUAAAGAAGUAAAUACAGCAAAGGAUUGAAUGGUGCCCCUGUUCCAUCUCCACCACUGAAUUUGAACCAGAUUCAAGCUUCGUAUCUAUGACAGAGACGCAAUGUACUCCUGGUCGCAUGGCAACUACAAAAUAUCCAAUGGUUGCUGCAGCAGUUUGCGCAUGCUCCAAAAUGUCUUGCAAAACAACCCUGUUUACAAGUUGUUUAUCAGAUUAUUCUUAUAUUUUAUGAUUGAAUUUUUGAUAGUCAAAAGCUAUCUUUCAGAAUUACUUGUAAUCAUAGUGUAAUUCAAUAAGUUGUAUUUUUAGUACAAGUGUAUAUAAAACAUUAAUGUAUGUAUUUGUGUAUAGAUAAACUUCCCGUGUCAGCAUUGCAUCUUUAAUAAGCAACACAAAUCAGCCUUUUCCAGGUUUGCCAUGUGCUUUUUAUUUUUCUGUCAUUUCAUUCAUAGUUUAAUUCAUUUUAUUUGUUACACAAGACAUUAGGCAUUGUUCACAUACUAGUGAUCAAACAAGGACAGUAAGUUUUCUACUACUCAGUCUAUUUCUUUUGUCAAUUUCAAGGGAUAUUUGUCAAUAGUGGUUUUCAAAGGCCAUACUAAACAGUAC
Astatotilapia calliptera (eastern happy) is the source of this 1048-nucleotide long non-coding RNA. The record is from Ensembl. Lineage: Eukaryota; Metazoa; Chordata; Actinopteri; Cichliformes; Cichlidae.